Molecule: ribosomal RNA, 251 nt
Filed under: uncultured prokaryote
Description: partial 16S rRNA
Rfam family: Bacterial small subunit ribosomal RNA
Source: RNAcentral
ACGUAGGUGGCGAGCGUUACUCGGAAUUACUAGGCGUAAAGCGAGUGUAGGCGGGAGCUUAAGUCGACUGUUAAAUCUCAUGGCUUAACCAUGAAAUGCCGGUUGAUACUGGGCUUCUUGAAUUCGGUAGAGGAAACUGGAAUUCCAGGUGUAGCGGUGAAAUGCGUAGAUAUCUGGAAGAACGCCAAAGGCGAAGGCAGGUUUCUGGGCCGCAAUUGACGCUGAGACUCGAAAGCUAGGGGAGCAAACAG